AUUGAACGCUGGCGGCAGGCCUAACACAUGCAAGUCGAGCGGAGCGGCGGACGGGUGAGUAAUGCCUAGGAAGCUGCCUGGUAGUGGGGGAUAACGUCCGGAAACGGGCGCUAAUACCGCAUACUAUCAGAUGAGCCUAGGUCGGAUUAGAUAGUUGGUGGGGUAAAGGCCUACCAGGGCGACGAUCCGUAACUGGUCUGAGAGGAUGAUCAGUCACCCUGGAACUGAGAAACGGUCCAGACGCCUACGCGAGGCAGCAGUGGGGAAUAUGGGACAAUGGGCGAAAGCCUGAUCCAGCCAUGCCGCGUGGGUGAAGAAGGUCUUCAGAUUGUAAAGCACUUUAAGUUGUGAGGCGUUACCUACAGAAUAAGCACCGGCUAACUUCGUGCCAGCAGCCGCGGUAAUAC
Molecule: ribosomal RNA, 407 nt
Filed under: uncultured bacterium
Lineage: Bacteria
Description: partial 16S ribosomal RNA
Rfam family: Bacterial small subunit ribosomal RNA
Source: RNAcentral